This 440-nucleotide ribosomal RNA is filed under the name uncultured bacterium. Its description in RNAcentral is "partial 16S ribosomal RNA". It matches the Rfam family "Bacterial small subunit ribosomal RNA", at positions 338 to 795 of the family's 1533-position model. The record is from RNAcentral.
CCUACGGGAGGCAGCAGUAGGGAAUUUUCCACAAUGAGCGAAAGCCUGACGCAGCAACGCCGCGUGCACGAGACACCCUUCCGGAUGUAAAGUUCUGUCAGUAAGGACGAAAGAUGACGAUACCCACAGAGGAAGCACCGGCCAGCUCCGUGCCAGCAGCCGCGGUAAUACGGAGGGUGCAAGCGGUGUCCGGAAUCAAUGGGGGUAAAGAGUUCGUAGGCGGUAUGGUAAGUCUGGUGUUAAGUGCAGAAGCUCAAAUUCUGUUCGGCACUGGAUACUGGCAAACUAGAAUGAGGUAGAGGUAAAGGGAAUUCCGGGUGUAGCGGUGAAAUGCGUAGAUAUAAGGAGGAACAUCGGUGGCGUAAGCGCUUUACUGGGUCGUAAUUGACGCUGAGGAACGAAAGCCAGGGUAGCAAAUGGGAUUAGAUACCCGGGUAGUC